AACGAACGCUGGCGGCAGGCCUAACACAUGCAAGUCGAGCGGGGGAGCAAUCCCUAGCGGCGGACGGGUUAGUAACGCGUGGGAACAUACCCUUUGGUACGGAAUAGCCUCGGGAAACUGAGAGUAAUACCGUAUGUGCCCUUCGGGGGAAAGAUUUAUCGCCAAAGGAUUGGCCCGCGUUGGAUUAGGUAGUUGGUGGGGUAAUGGCCUACCAAGCCUACGAUCCAUAGCUGGUUUGAGAGGAUGAUCAGCAACACUGGGACUGAGACACGGCCCAGACUCCUACGGGAGGCAGCAGUGGGGAAUCUUAGACAAUGGGCGCAAGCCUGAUCUAGCCAUGCCGCGUGAUCGAUGAAGGCCUUUAGGGUUGUAAAGAUCUUUCAGUGGGGAAGAUAAUGACGGUAACCGGAGAAGAAGCCCGGCUAACUUCGUGCCAGCAGCCGCGGUAAUGUGACUACUG
This 460-nucleotide ribosomal RNA is filed under the name uncultured bacterium. RNAcentral's name for it is "bacterial SSU rRNA". It matches the Rfam family "Bacterial small subunit ribosomal RNA", at positions 29 to 532 of the family's 1533-position model. The record is from RNAcentral.